GAGGGUAUAGCUCAGCGGUAGAGUGCCUGCUUAGCAUUCACAAGGUCCUAGGUUCAAUCCCCAGUACCUCCA
RNAcentral lists this transfer RNA (72 nucleotides) under Camelus bactrianus (Bactrian camel). It matches the Rfam family "tRNA". From Rfam's summary of the family: Transfer RNA (tRNA) molecules are approximately 80 nucleotides in length. Their secondary structure includes four short double-helical elements and three loops (D, anti-codon, and T loops). RNAcentral also lists the same sequence under 2 other names. Lineage: Eukaryota; Metazoa; Chordata; Mammalia; Artiodactyla; Camelidae. The record is from Rfam by way of RNAcentral.